GUAGCUUUGCGUGUUUUCAAGUGGUCUUUCCAUUUCUUAUUCGAACAAAUCCUGUAUGAGACGCCCCGCAUCCAGUGAUGAAAACUGCGGCUUUGAUAAUACUCACCUUUGCUAUUCUGUGUCUCAUGAAAGGUACCAGUGGCGCCCCCAAGAAGCGAUGGACUCUCCCUGGCGAAUGCGAAUAUAAAAUUUCCUGCUUUUCAAACCGACAAUGUCGAAAUACCUACGGUAAUGGUUACCAAUGUGUAUUUGCCGACAACUGUGGCCCGACGUGUUGCAAAGAUUAUGAAGGAGACGAUCCGGACUGUAAGACGACAAUGAUUGAUGAUGGUGAUGAUUAAGGACACAACAACAACGACGACGACGACGACAACAAAAAUGUAACGCUGUAACUGAUUCAUAGAAUAUAAUACAUGUACUGAAAACU
Lineus longissimus is the source of this 427-nucleotide long non-coding RNA. RefSeq lists it as uncharacterized. Lineage: Eukaryota; Metazoa; Nemertea; Pilidiophora; Heteronemertea; Lineidae. The record is from RefSeq and is a predicted model, not a curated record. The transcript has 3 exons.